Molecule: ribosomal RNA, 253 nt
Filed under: uncultured bacterium
Lineage: Bacteria
Description: partial 16S ribosomal RNA
Rfam family: Bacterial small subunit ribosomal RNA
Source: RNAcentral
UACAGAGGGGGCAAGCGUUGUUCGGAAUUACUGGGCGUAAAGGGUGCGCAGGCGGCGUCGCAAGUCAGGCGUGAAAUCCCCGGGCUUAACCUGGGAACUGCACUUGAAACUACGAUGCUGGAGUAUGGCAGAGGGAGGUGGAAUUCCACGUGUAGCAGUGAAAUGCGUAGAGAUGUGGAGGAACACCGAUGGCGAAGGCAGCCCCCUGGGCUAACACUGACGCUCAUGCACGAAAGCGUGGGGAGCAAACAGG